This 721-nucleotide long non-coding RNA is filed under the name Parus major (Great Tit). RNAcentral describes it as "lncRNA (ENSPMJG00000002075.1)". The record is from RNAcentral. Lineage: Eukaryota; Metazoa; Chordata; Aves; Passeriformes; Paridae.
AAGGGACAGGUGACACAGGGGACAGGGGGACAGGGGACAGGGGACACGGGGACAGGUGACACAGGGGACACGGGGACAGGGACACAGGUCAGCUGUUUCUCACCUGAUGUUCCUCACCUGUCCAGGUGUUUCUCACCCACCCCAGGUGUUCCUCCCCUGUCCAGGUGUUCCUCACCUCCCCCAGCUGUGUGUCUCACCUGUCCAGGUGUUCCUCACCUCCCCCAGCUGUGUGUCUCACCUGUCCAGGUGUUUCUCACCUCCCCCAGCUGUUCCUCACCUGUCCAGGUGUAUUUCUCACCCACCCCAGGUGUAUUAUUUCAUCUCCCCCAGAUGUUCCUCACCUCCCCCAGCUGUUUCCCACCCACUCCAGAUGUUUCUCACCUGUCCAGGUGUAUUUUUCACCUCCCCCAGGUGUUCCUCCCCUGUCCAGAUGUUCCUCACCUCCCCCAGAUGUUCCUCCCCUGUCCAGGUGUAUUUCUCACCUGUCCAGGUGUAUUUCUCACCCACCCCAGAUGUUCCUCACCUGUCCAGGUGUAUUCCUCACCUCCCCCAGACGUUCCUCACCUGUCCAGGUGUGUUCCUCACCUCCCCCAGAUGUUCCUCACCUGUCCAGGUGUGUUCCUCACCUCCCCCAGAUGUUCCUCACCUGUCCAGCUGUUCCUCACCUGCAGCUGGAAGGCCAGCUCGGCCGUGGCCCGGCAGGCACUGCACACCUGUCCAG